CCCCUACCUUUAGUUGCCAUCAGGUUAAGCUGGGGACUCUAAAGGAACUGCCUACGCAAGUAGUGAGGAAGCGGGGAUGACGUCAAAUCAGCACGGCCCUUACGUCCAGGGCUACACACGUGCUACAAUGGCCGAUACAGAGGGCAGCUACCUGGUGACAGGAUGCAAAUCUCCAAAGUCGGUCUCAGUUCGGAUCGGAGUCUGCAACCCGACUCCGUGAAGUUGGAUUCGCUAGUAAUCGCGCAUCAGCCAUGGCGCGGUGAAUACGUUCCCGGGCCUU
Molecule: ribosomal RNA, 280 nt
Filed under: uncultured Sphingobacteriales bacterium
Lineage: Bacteria; Pseudomonadati; Bacteroidota; Sphingobacteriia; Sphingobacteriales
Description: partial 16S ribosomal RNA
Rfam family: Bacterial small subunit ribosomal RNA
Source: RNAcentral